UACGGAGGAUGCGAGCGUUAUCCGGAUUUAUUGGGUUUAAAGGGAGCGUAGACGGCCGUUUAAGUCAGCUGUGAAAUGGUGCGGCUCAACCGUAGCACUGCAGUUGAAACUGGACGGCUUGAGUGCAGUUGAGGCAGGCGGAAUUCGUGGUGUAGCGGUGAAAUGCUUAGAUAUCACGAAGAACCCCGAUUGCGAAGGCAGCCUGCUAAGCUGCAACUGACGUUGAUGCUCGAAAGUGUGGGUAUCAAACAGG
This 253-nucleotide ribosomal RNA is filed under the name uncultured bacterium. RNAcentral describes it as "partial 16S ribosomal RNA". It matches the Rfam family "Bacterial small subunit ribosomal RNA", at positions 524 to 776 of the family's 1533-position model. The record is from RNAcentral.